GCGCCCUUAGCUCAGUGGAUUAGAGCGACUGGCUUCGGACCAGUAGGUCGGGGGUUCGAAUCCCUCAGGGCGUACCA
Molecule: transfer RNA, 77 nt
Filed under: bacterium ADurb.Bin212
Lineage: Bacteria
Description: tRNA-Arg
Rfam family: tRNA
About the family: Transfer RNA (tRNA) molecules are approximately 80 nucleotides in length. Their secondary structure includes four short double-helical elements and three loops (D, anti-codon, and T loops). Further hydrogen bonds mediate the characteristic L-shaped molecular structure. tRNAs have two regions of fundamental functional importance: the anti-codon, which is responsible for specific mRNA codon recognition, and the 3' end, to which the tRNAs corresponding amino acid is attached (by aminoacyl-tRNA synthetases). tRNAs cope with the degeneracy of the genetic code in two manners: having more than one tRNA (with a specific anti-codon) for a particular amino acid; and 'wobble' base-pairing, i.e. permitting non-standard base-pairing at the 3rd anti-codon position.
Source: RNAcentral